AUUGAACGCUGGCGGCAGGCCUAACACAUGCCAGUCGAACGGUAACAGGAAGAAGCUUGCUUCUUUGCUGACGAGUGGCGGACGGGUGAGUAAUGUCUGGGAAACUGCCUGAUGGAGGGGGAUAACUACUGGAAACGGUAGCUAAUACCGCAUAACGUCGCAAGACCAAAGAGGGGGACCUUCGGGCCUCUUGCCAUCGGAUGUGCCCAGAUGGGAUUAGCUAGUAGGUGGGGUAACGGCUCGCCUAGGCGACGAUCCCUAGCUGGUCUGAGAGGAUGACCAGCCACACUGGAACUGAGACACGGUCCAGACUCCUACGGGAGGCAGCAGUGGGGAAUAUUGCACAAUGGGCGCAAGCCUGAUGCAGCCAUGCCGCGUGUAUGAAGAAGGCCUUCGGGUUGUAAAGUACUUUCAGCGGGGAGGAAGGGAGUAAAGUUAAUACCUUUGCUCAUUGACGUUACCCGCAGAAGAAGCACCGGCUAACUCCGUG
RNAcentral lists this ribosomal RNA (490 nucleotides) under uncultured bacterium. RNAcentral describes it as "partial 16S ribosomal RNA". It matches the Rfam family "Bacterial small subunit ribosomal RNA", at positions 30 to 507 of the family's 1533-position model. The record is from RNAcentral.